AUUGAACGCUGGCGGCAGGCCUAACACAUGCAAGUCGAACGGUAACAGGAAGAAGCUUGCUUCUUUGCUGACGAGUGGCGGACGGGUGAGUAAUGUCGGGGAAACUGCCUGAUGGAGGGGGAUAACUACUGGAAACGGUAGCUAAUACCGCAUAACGUCGCAAGACCAAAAAGGGGGACCUUCGGGCCUCUUGCCAUCGGAUGUGCCCAGAUGGGAUUAGCUAGUAGGUGGGGUAACGGCUCACCUAGGCGACGAUCCCUAGCUGGUCUGAGAGGAUGACCAGCCACACUGGAACUGAGACACGGUCCAGACUCCUACGGGAGGCAGCAGUGGGGAAUAUUGCACAAUGGGCGCAAGCCUGAUGCAGCCAUGCCGCGUGUAUGAAGAAGGCCUUCGGGUUGUAAAGUACUUUCAGCGGGGAGGAAGGGAGUAAAGUUAAUACCUUUGCUCAUUGACGUUACCCGCAGAAGAAGCACCGGCUAACUCCGUG
Molecule: ribosomal RNA, 490 nt
Filed under: uncultured bacterium
Lineage: Bacteria
Description: partial 16S ribosomal RNA
Rfam family: Bacterial small subunit ribosomal RNA
Source: RNAcentral